RNAcentral lists this long non-coding RNA (789 nucleotides) under Salmo salar (Atlantic salmon). Its description in RNAcentral is "lncRNA (ENSSSAG00000118724.1)". Lineage: Eukaryota; Metazoa; Chordata; Actinopteri; Salmoniformes; Salmonidae. The record is from RNAcentral.
CUGUUUGAAUGGUGUCUGUGAGUUUAACAGAACUCAUUUGGCAGGCCAAAACCUGAGAAGAUUCCAAACAGGAAGCGCCCUCUCUGACUAUUUCUUGGCCUUCUUGAUCAUCUCUAUCCAAAACAGGGGAUCUCUGCUGUAACGUGACAUUUUCAAACGCUCCCAUAGGCUCUCAGAAGGCGCCAGAAUGUUGAUUGAUGACUUUGCAGGCCAUGAUUGAAAAACAGUAGCGCAUUUGGAUAGUGGUCGAUCUAAGAACAAUAAGACUGGGGGCGCGUGCACGACUCCAUGUUUUUAUUUUUUCGUCUUACAACGAAAACAGGGUUUCCCGGACGGAAUAUUAUCGCUUUUUUAUGAGAAAAAUCAUAUAAAAAUUGAUUUUAAACAGCGGUUGACAUGCUUCGAAGUACGGUAAUGGAAUAUUUUGACAUUUUUUUGUCACGAAACGCGCUGGGCGCGUCACCCUUCUUUACCCUUCGGAUAGUGUCUUGAACGCACGAACAAAACGCCGCUAUUUGGAUAUAACUAUGGAUUAUUUGGAACCAAACCAACAUUUGUUAUUGAAGUAGAAGUCCUGGGAGUGCAUUCUGACGAAGAACAGCAAAGAACCACCCACCACAAGAAGACCAAGCAGCGUGGUAUGGAGGAACAGAGGGUUAUGGACUCCUGGACUUGGGAGAUGAUUUUGGACGGAAAGGGACCCUGGACAACGCCUGGGGAGUAUCGCCGCCCGCAGUGGGAGAUCGAGGCAGCGAAGGCGGAACGGCGAUACUGGGAGGAACAGGCAAG